GGAUGUGAGGGCGAUCUGGCUGCGACAUCUGUCACCCCAUUGAUCGCCAGGGUUGAUUCGGCUGAUCUGGCUGGCUAGGCGGGUGUCCCCUUCCUCCCUCACCGCUCCAUGUGCGUCCCUCCCGAAGCUGCGCGCUCGGUCGAAGAGGACGGCCUUCCCCGAAUAGAGACGGACCGGUCUUCGGUCGAGGGUAUACGAGUAGCUGCGCUCCCCUGCUAGAACCUCCAAACAAGCUCUCAAGAACUCUCUUCAUUCUUUCCCACUAUCUCUAUCACUGUCAUUCUCACUCUUGGGCUAAAGCUAUUUUAAAACACUAGGUCAGGGAGUGGUGAUGA
Molecule: small nuclear RNA, 335 nt
Filed under: Erinaceus europaeus (western European hedgehog)
Lineage: Eukaryota; Metazoa; Chordata; Mammalia; Eulipotyphla; Erinaceidae
Description: 7SK RNA (ENSEEUG00000018297.1)
Rfam family: 7SK RNA
About the family: 7SK was discovered as an abundant small nuclear RNA in the mid-70s but a possible function has only recently been suggested.
Source: RNAcentral